This 253-nucleotide ribosomal RNA is filed under the name uncultured bacterium. RNAcentral describes it as "partial 16S ribosomal RNA". It matches the Rfam family "Bacterial small subunit ribosomal RNA", at positions 524 to 776 of the family's 1533-position model. The record is from RNAcentral.
UACAGAGGUGGCAAGCGUUGUUCGGAAUUACUGGGCGUAAAGGGCGCGUAGGCGGCCUUCUUAGUCGGACGUGAAAUCCCCAGGCUCAACUUGGGAACUGCGUCCGAUACUGGAUGGCUUGAGUGCGGGAGAGGGAUGUGGAAUUCCAGGUGUAGCGGUGAAAUGCGUAGAUAUCGGGAGGAACACCUGAGGCGAAGGCGGGCUACUGGGCUGAUACUGACGCUGAGGCGCGAAAGCUAGGGGAGCAAACGGG